AUGUAACAUACCUUGAAAUAUAUAUAAUUUAUGAGAAAAUUUCAUUUUUAUACAAAAUUAGAAUCCAUAAUAGGUGUAAUUUCCAUAAAAGCAAAACAUUUAACAAUAUUUGUCAAUGAAUUGGAACACAUAAGUUUCCAAAUUAAAGUGUACAAAAAUAAAAUAUUUCUAGUUUCAUAAUGAAUUAAUCAACCUAAUACUCAUAAGGACGAUCUUCAUCACAUUGGUCGCCUACUUCAAGUUCUCCACCUACAAAUAAUCAAAAAACAAACAAUUUAGCGAAAGUUCUAUAAAAGGAUCUCAUUUAAAGAUAUGUAUAUAUUAAUGUCAUGACACAUUUCUCUCACCAAAUAAAGCAGAUUAGAGGAAACAUUUUCCAGAUAUGAAGAAACUGAACAAACACAACCAGAUAUUGCCAUAAGGUCAUCAACAACCAUAAAUCAUCAGACUUCCCCUUCUAGUCCAAACACAACUCUAUCAGAUAUAGCGAAUUCGUUUGCACCAAAUUAAAUAUAGUAAACAUCAUUGUAUGGACAGCGGAGCCUCAAAACAUGACUAUUUUAACAUACCAGUUAAAUAAAAGAUCAACACAAAGAAAGAAUAAGACAUUUACAACUGCCAAAAAUUCCUCAAUAAUGGACUAAGAUAGUCUCAGAUUCAAACAGUGAAGGAAUGAUCACACUUAACAAGAAACUGCCACUAAUCCAAAACUUAUUUUAGCCUAAUUGAUAACACAUCUCUACAGAAAAGCACAACCAGCAAAGAAAACUGCCACUAAUCCAAGACUGAAUUUAGCCUAAUUGAUAACACUUCUCUACAGAAAACCACAACCAGCAAAGAAGAGGAAAGAGGAGGAUUUUUGACACUUAGAAUUUGAACUACCAGAUAGUGUCACAUUCUUAGAUUGAGCAUGUUCAAAGCAAGACAGAGCCUAAAUGUGACACCAAAACACUCCAAAAGAUCUAUGCAACCACAAAUAAGAUGUUGAAACCAAGCGAACAUUCAUCAGUUGUGCAUUUGACACUAAUAGAAAUCUGCGGCUGUAAGCAUGAACAAGAAACUAAAGAGCAAUUACUCAGCUUUAUUCCUGGGACGAUUUAUUUUAAACAUGUCCCUGCUCCUUUGAGUAUGAAACCACAUAACAAAAUAGAUGCAUGAGGAUAAUGACACACUAGCAAAUUCCAAUUUAAUCCUAUCUCGAGUGGAAACUUUGCACAUAACAACAGAGAACUAGAAAGCUUCCAAGUUUACCCAUCCAGUUAAGAGAAAUCGAUGUUUACAAACUGAACUGAUCCUAAUCUUGCUUCAAAGGUGAAAACAAAUCACUAGAAAUGGAAACAAAUAGAUAGACAAUACAAACUGGUCGGCAUUCAAGUGUCAAGAAUGAUCACAAUCUUGCUUCAAAGAUGAAAACAAAUCACUAGAAAUGGAAACAAAUCGAUAGACAAUACAAACUGGUCGGCAUUCAAGUGUUAAGAUAGUCUGUACAUUUAACAUCAGGGCGUGAAAAAUACUACGUGUACCUGGACUGAUUUACGGCUAGUACAUGAAUAAGCAUGAAAUUUCAGGAAAAUCCAUGAGUUGUUCAAAACCUAGUUCAUACACUUUCCAAUAUAGAGAGAACAGAUUCAAACAAUGGAACAAGGACCAACUCAAACUUGAUUAUCACGCUUUAGAUCACUGAAUUCAACACAUUGACAACGAAGGUAUCACAUGAAAUCAAUUCUACCCGAACAGAGCAGAAUGGAGCGGAUUUUCAUUCAAAUAUAUGCAAAAUAUCAGUACGACCUCAAACAUUCUAACCAAGUUAAUAUCAAACUAGCUAACUGAACUCCAAUUCAUAACCAAACGAAUCAGCAUCAAAACUAACUAGAGAAUGUACAUCGAAAUAAAAAAGAGCAUAAGAAGAUGAACCUGAAAUUGAAUCUUUCUUUUGAUAAUAGAAUUGAAGGCUAUUACACAGUUUCAACUCCAAAACUCCCAUCAGAACACAAUGGUAAAUCAAAACUCGAAGAACAACAAACCAAUAUACGUGCAGCGUGUAGACAAAUGCAACAACUCGAUUAUUAUUGUAUACAACUAUUCAAUGCAAUUCUCUAAAUAGAAAUGACUUUCGAAUGAUCUUGCUCAAUUAUUAUAGUAUACAACUAUUCAAUGCAAUUCUCUAAAUAGAAAUGACUUUUGAAUGGUUUGUUAGACUCUGUUUCUAGACGUGGGAAGAUAGCAAGGCGAGCAAACAAGAUUGCACAUACACAUACAUCAGACAUAGGAAAUUAAAUAGCUAUAAUGAAGCACACAAAAACAGAAAUUUUGAAUCCUACUGUAACAUUGAAAAAUGAUGUACACCGGAUAUCUGAUAAGGCUAAUCAGUCAGCUUUGCAAGAGAGAAGUUUGAGCCUGCUCGCUCGACCUAUGGCAGAACAUGAAAUAGCUGAACAAGCAGCUUUUACUUUUUCUAUCGUGCACACUAAAAAUGUUCUUGCUAUGGAAAAUGCAGCAGAAACUAUACCAACUGAUCGCAGAUGCGGUCAUCCUAACAUAAUGCAUAAUCCUACUUCGCAAAAUGAUGACAUGUACACUAUACCAUAGGUGCAUAUAAGUGAAACGCGAUUAUCCAUAAUAUUGAUUUUUUAAAUUCCUUGGCUAAUUGUAUCCUAAUGUAUAACCAGAACACCCAUAUUAGAACACAAGAGCCAACGAAAUAGAAAACAAACACAAAAAAUGAAAUCCCCCCAUAUAUACAUCAAUUUUCUCCAACUCUACCAACUUUAAAUUUCCCUAUUUAUAUUUUAGGAUUUUGUCGACCUCAACAAUGGAGUUUUGAAGGGUAGUUGUCACUUUAAUUCCACCCAAACAACAAUAAACUCAAUAUUAAUUACAAAAUAAACUUCGAAUAAAAUUUUGGCUCAAAGAAUUGAAACCCAGUUUCUCAAACUCUAAUUUUACUAAAAUCCAACUUUUUUUUUUCAUUGAUUUUUUUCCCGGAAACUCAAAUCUUCACCAAAUCUGAGAUACAAAUUUCAAACCCCACAAAAAUUUAAAACCAAACAUAAAUUAGAACAAAAGAUAAUAACUUUAUAGAAACCCAUUUGCAUAUUUUGUAAUCUUUUCCAAAAAUAUUUGAAUAUAAAAUCUAGAAAUACGGAACUUAUAAACCAUGGAGGAGUGCAUGCAGAUCUAUUGAGGUAGAGAGCAAUACAUGUCGAAGCCUUUGCUGGUCGAAAUUCUUCGCUGGACAAAAACCUUGCUGGAUUUGGAGCAGGUUUUUGCUCUUGAAGAAGCUUCAAUGGAGGGUUUUUCUCAAUGAAUUAAGUAGAAAAGCUUUUACACUGACUGGUCGAAUCUCUAUGGAACUGAUUUUCACUAGUGAAGAGCCUUCAUAGCUUUUGGAUUUUGGUUGUUUUUGCUCUUGAAGAAGAAAGUGCUCUAUUUUUCUUUAAAUUGAUAUACUGAAUAAUGAAUAAAAGAGAAAAAAUACUCUUAUUUACUUAAUUUGAUAUAAUUUUUUUAAUUAUAAAAAUAAGCUUCGCUGUUUUGUGAAAUAGUGGAGGGAAAUAGCGGAGGGAAAUGACAUACCCAAAGAACCG
This 3587-nucleotide long non-coding RNA is filed under the name Nicotiana benthamiana. Its description in RNAcentral is "long non-coding RNA (NBEN_LNC032613)". The record is from RNAcentral. Lineage: Eukaryota; Viridiplantae; Streptophyta; Magnoliopsida; Solanales; Solanaceae.